UAUGUAUUAAAAGGAUUAAUUUCUAUAUGUAGGAAAAGGCCAUUGGCCUUGGGCUUUGGCGCAUGAGAAAAUCAGAAAGGGGCAAGGAAGUGUGAAGUUUUCAUUUCCUUCACCAUUCACGUUAUCUUUCCCUCUCAGCUUCCCUGUUACUCUCGUACUCUCCUUUCACCGGUUUUCAUUGCCAUCGUGCAGCAAAUCACCUUCGGCGGCGGCGCGACCCAUAACAUACUCAAACCACCAUCAAUAGAUGAACCUUGCACAUUUGGAUCUUAUUGAUUCUUGGAGAAAGUGGUGGCCUCAAGUGAUAGCUUGUCAUGUAGCAAGAUGAAGUUGAAUGGCUUUGAAGUUUUAAAAAGAUACAGGUCUAUGGGAGGGUUAAUGAUUGGUCAGAGUCACUGGUCUUUGGUCAACUAUUUGUAAGAAUGUAUUUUUCAAUAAAAUUUUAUUUCUUUUUGUACUCUUUUGUAAUUGAAUGCUUUUGCAAUAUCUUGUAGAUUGAACUUGAAGUCAUGUAACUUGUACUCCAAAUAAUUUUCAAAUACAAAUUUCCCUCCA
Molecule: long non-coding RNA, 555 nt
Organism: Lathyrus oleraceus (garden pea)
Lineage: Eukaryota; Viridiplantae; Streptophyta; Magnoliopsida; Fabales; Fabaceae
Exons: 2
Source: RefSeq, a predicted model, not a curated record